Molecule: long non-coding RNA, 2078 nt
Filed under: Lathyrus oleraceus (garden pea)
Lineage: Eukaryota; Viridiplantae; Streptophyta; Magnoliopsida; Fabales; Fabaceae
Description: Pisum sativum (pea) long non-coding RNA (PSAT_LNC039745)
Source: RNAcentral
UUAUGACCAGGUAGGGGUGUUUCUGAAACGAAAUUGCAUUUGGGCCAUGGAGCUUUUCUUCCUUUGGCCCAAAAUUCUCCAAGAAACAUCCAUGAAUCAUACUUCCAACAGAAAGAAACAAAAAGACAAACUCAGGGAAUGAAGUGUUUAUGAAGAUUUACGGACGAUACGUCAUGAAGCAAAUUCCACUUCGACCACACGCCCUCGUCGUCACCGCGUCGUCGCCCGAAAAAUGGGCUCCGCUUCGAUUUGAUCUGUGUUGCGUUCGUGUUUGAGAUGAAUGACGAAGAUGAUGAAUGGUUGAUGAUGCGUUACGUUGCAGAACGAAGAUGGAGAUGAUGUUAUGUUCGUGAUGCGAUGAUGCUUCCGAAUCCGUGCAUUGCCAAUUGAGAAGACGAAACUUGUUGAAUCGUGAGUUUCUUCCUUUGAUUUCUUGCUACUGAUUUUCCUAUGGUUCUAUGCUCCUUCUCCUCUUCUUCUAUGAGCCUUCUUUUUAUUCUCUUCUUCUUGAAUCUUUGGUUCGUUUUUGGAUGCGAAUUGUUUCCAUUUUUGGUGUGUAUUCGUGUGGUAGAAGAUUGGAGGUUAGUCUGCAGGUUCUGAAUUGGGUUUGGGAUGGAAGGUUUUUGUGAAUUUGGUUCUGUUGUAGAUGGAAGGUUGGUUAUGUGGAUGGGUGAUUCAGUGAGGGUGAUGAGUUUGUUGAACAUUUGAAGAGGAAGCGAAAUGAAGUUUUGUUGUGAUUUUCGAGGAGUGAGUUUGUUAUUGAUUCAGUUCCAUUCUGUUGGAAGCUUCUGAGGGGUUUUUCUGUUAUCAUCCCUCUAUUGAGUUGGUUAUAGAGAGUUUUUUUGGUUAUGAUGAAGCUUAGUUCAGAAGUCGUUGAGAAGUUUUUUCUUUUAUAUCUGUUUCUAGAAGUUGUUUUAAAUGGUUGUUUUUUGGGGAUCGAAGAAUGGAGAGUGAAGUUCUGUUCAAAGGUUGAUUGAAGAGGUUGGGAAUUUAUCAGUUAGCAAGCAAAGUUCUGGUUUUUUGAAUUGGGGAGUUUUUGGCUAUUCUGUUGUGAAUUGUUAUCACAGUUGAGGAAGCUGCUAUGGAGUUUGUUACAGUUGGUUAGAAAUUGUUGGAGGGUUAUGAUUUUAGGUUAUUGGGAGUUGAAAACCGGUUGAAGGUUCAAGGGUGUUACGGUUCUGAGAAGUUCGGUUGUUGGAAGUUCUUGAAUUUGUUUUAUUAUGUUGUUCAGUUUAUUGUUCUGAUUCAAUCUUUUGUUUUUUUUUUUGUGAAUUAAUGCAGGUUGUGUUCUUAGAGCUUGGGGAGUCAUGUGCGAAGGAAAACCUGUAGAGGAUCCCUAUGGCAAUUAGUUCCUACUAUUCAUAGACCCAUUAUAUCCAUUUUGUGAUUGAGGAUACAUGUUUGGAGCUCCUGGAGAAAGAUGUAUCCCGGGAGUAUAAUCCACCAUACGUAUGACCACUUAAUUGUGCAUAUUGACUAAGAAGCAUAAGGUGCCUGCAGAGAAUGGCCAGUAGAUGAUGAAAAUCCAUGCAAGCCAGGUUGACUAGAAUGAGAAGGAAAGGGUGGCCGUGUUUAUGCAUAUGGGCUGGUGUUAGCUGGAAAAGAUGCAGAGUAUGGUUCGAUAGAAAAUGAGUCCCCAAAUCCAAAGCUGGACAUUGUGUCAGCAUAUUACAAGGCUGACAUUGGCUUAGAUUAUUUAGAAUGGUUCAUUUGGAUCGUGUCGAAGCCUUGAACUUAAUGGAGUGGUUUUGAAGUUUUGAAUUGAUCUUGUGUUCAUUUACAAUAUUGUAGUGUUAUGUAGGAUAUUAUAAUGGUUUAAUGUAAUGAAUAGUCAAUUGGACAUGGUUGUGAUUUGAUGUAGUUGGAAGUUUGGAAUUGCAAUUGUAAUGAUGUAUUGAAUGUAUAUGAAAUGAUUUAUGAAUGGUUUUGGAAUUUUGGAAAUUGAAUUGAAAUGGAACGUAUAUGACUUGAAUGGAAUUUGGGAUAUUUUUGUAGUUUGGGAAUUGAAUUUAUGUAGAAAUGUUUGGAGAUUUGAAAUUGUAAUUGUAAUGAUGUAUUAUGAUUCAUGGUGAAUAUUG